Molecule: ribosomal RNA, 433 nt
Filed under: uncultured bacterium
Lineage: Bacteria
Description: partial 16S ribosomal RNA
Rfam family: Bacterial small subunit ribosomal RNA
Source: RNAcentral
AACGAACGCUGGCGGCAUGCCUAACACAUGCAAGUCGAACGAGACCUUCGGGUCUAGUGGCGCACGGGUGCGUAACGCGUGGGAACCUGCCCUUAGGUUCGGAAUAACUCCCCGAAAGGGGUGCUAAUACCGGAUAAUGUCUUCGGACCAAAGAUUUAUCGCCUUUGGAUGGGCCCGCGUUGGAUUAGCUAGUUGGUAGGGUAAAAGCCUACCAAGGCGACGAUCCAUAGCUGGUCUGAGAGGAUGAUCAGCCACACUGGGACUGAGACACGGCCCAGACUCCUACGGGAGGCAGCAGUGGGGAAUAUUGGAAAAUGGGCGAAAGCCUGAUCCAGCAAUGCCGCGUGAGUGAUGAAGGCCUUAGGGUUGUAAAGUUCUUUUACCCGGGAUGAUAAUGACAGUACCGGGAGAAUAAGCACCGGCUAACUCCGUG